RNAcentral lists this ribosomal RNA (352 nucleotides) under uncultured bacterium. Its description in RNAcentral is "bacterial SSU rRNA". It matches the Rfam family "Bacterial small subunit ribosomal RNA", at positions 8 to 349 of the family's 1533-position model. The record is from RNAcentral.
AGAGUUUGAUCCUGGCUCAGGAUGAACGCUAGCUACAGGCUUAACACAUGCAAGUCGAGGGGAAACGACAUCGAAAGCUUGCUUUUGAUGGGCGUCGACCGGCGCACGGGUGAGUAACGCGUAUCCAACCUGCCCACCACUUGGGGAUAACCUUGCGAAAGUAAGACUAAUACCCAAUGACGUCUCUAGAAGACAUCUGAAGGAGAUUAAAGAUUUAUCGGUGAUGGAUGGGGAUGCGUCUGAUUAGCUUGUUGGCGGUGUAACGGCCACCAAGGCGACGAUCAGUAGGGGUUCUGAGAGGAAGGUCCCCCANACUUGGAACUGAGACACGGUCCAAACUCCUACGGGAGCA